UUUCGCCCUGUUUAUUCAAAAACAUGUCUGUGUGAAAUAAAUAUUUAGUCUGACCUGCCCACUGAGUUUUAAAGGGCUGCGGUAAUUUGACCGUGCAAAGGUAGCAUAAUCAAUAGUCUUUUAAUUGGGGGCUUGAAUGAAAGGUUUGACGGAAGGGAAACUGUCUUUCUGAUUUAUAUUGAAUUUAACUUUUGUGUGAAAAGGCAUUAAUGGUUUAAAGGGACGAUAAGACCCUAUAAAACUUUAUAUAUUAUAUUAUUUAACUAAAGUGUUAUAUUAAUUGUUAAAUAGUUAAUUGUAUUUUGCUGGGGCGGCAAAAAUAUAACUGUAACUGUUUAAGGUAUGAAAUAUUUAUUAAUAAAAAAUGGUCCUUUAUUAAGGAGAUAAGAGUAAGUUACUUUAGGGAUAACAGCAUAAUUUCUUUAGAGAGUUCUUAUCGAAGAAGUUAGUUGUGACCUCGAUGUUGAAUUAAAUUUUCCUUUAGGUGUAGGAGUUUAAAAGGAAGGGCCUGUUCGGCCUAUAAAUAUUUACAUGAUUUGAGUUCAAACCGGUGUGAGCCAGGUGGGUUUCUAUCUAAA
This 578-nucleotide ribosomal RNA is filed under the name Synalpheus pandionis. RNAcentral describes it as "partial 16S ribosomal RNA". It matches the Rfam family "Bacterial large subunit ribosomal RNA", at positions 1794 to 2649 of the family's 2925-position model. Lineage: Eukaryota; Metazoa; Arthropoda; Malacostraca; Decapoda; Alpheidae. The record is from RNAcentral.